CCCUUAGAUGUUCUGGGCCGCACGCGCGCUACACUGAUGCAUUCAACGAGUCCAACCUUGACCGAGAGGUCCGGGUAAUCUUUGAAACUGCAUCGUGAUGGGGCUAGAUUAUUGCAAUUAUUAAUCUUCAACGAGGAGUGCCUAGUAAGCGUGAUUCAUCAAAUCGCGUUGAUUACGUCCCUGCCCUUUGUACACACCGCCCGUCGCUCCUACCGAUUGAGUGUGUUGGUGAGGAGUUUGGAUUGGCCUCGGAAGGUGGUUCGCCACCGUCCGUAGCUGAGAAGUUCUCCAAACCGCCCCACUUAGAGGAAGGAGAAGUCGUAACA
Molecule: ribosomal RNA, 326 nt
Filed under: uncultured eukaryote
Lineage: Eukaryota
Description: partial 18S ribosomal RNA
Rfam family: Eukaryotic small subunit ribosomal RNA
Source: RNAcentral